This 2134-nucleotide unclassified non-coding RNA is filed under the name Melitaea cinxia (Glanville fritillary). RNAcentral's name for it is "misc RNA ENSMCXG00005016964.1". Lineage: Eukaryota; Metazoa; Arthropoda; Insecta; Lepidoptera; Nymphalidae. The record is from RNAcentral.
GUAACGGCCAUCUUGUAAAUCGCGUCAACUCACUGACUCGAGAUAUCUCAAUCAGUACAAAGCAAUUUACAUACGAGUCCGCCAUGCAGUACCGAUCGGAUCAAUCACAAUUCAAUAAGCCUUAAUAAUGUACUGUACAACAAAAAUCAAAUUACACUUACAUCGUGCACAAAAUUUUCCUGGCUUUGCUGGCAAUGUAAAAUAUAUUCUUUCAAUUUUAAUUUAUAUUUGAGAAAACUUUGUGUAUUCCUAAUUGGUGGGGGUAUGUUGUUCCAGCACCUGGAGGCAGCAUAGCGGAAGCUGCCCCUGAAAGAGGCUGUCUUGUGCUUUUGUACUACAAGUUGUAUGGAACAUUGUCGCGAUUCACAAGUCCUAUGGCUUGACAUCCAAAUGAGCUUUUCAUACAAAUAUGACGGCUCCUUACGCCUUAAAAGAUCGAAAAGAAGACAAGCUAAGUGAAAUUUGCGACGGUGUUUCAUUUUUAAAAUUGAGUGUACAUUUAAGUAAGGAGUAACGUGUUCUCUAAAGGGAAUAUCGAAGCAGAAGCGAGCACAGGCAUUCUGGAUUCUCUGUACAAGUCUCUGUGUUUUGGCGGUCAAACGAGGUCCAUAUACAAUAUCUGUGUAAUUCAACUUGGACAAUAUCAGUGACUCAGUAAGGCGAAUACGUAAAUCUACUCCCAGGUGAUCUCUCACAUUGUAAAGAAUUUUUAAGCGGUAAAAACAAUCUCUCACUAGUCCAAUGAUGUGAUUCUCAAAUCUAAGAUUACAGUCCAUCUGUAAGCCAAGGUUACGUGCUUCCCACACCCUUUCAAUAGGUUGAUCCAUUAAUAGUAUUUUAUUUGUAUGUUUUAGCCUUAAUAUUUGUGAUUUUGUGCCACAAAUCAUAUAUUUGGAUUUAUUUGGAUUUAAAACUAAGCUAUUCCUCUUGGACCAUAGCACAAUCCGAUUCAGAUCUUCAUUUAGUCUAUCAAUUGCAAUGUCAAUAUCAGAUGGUUUGCAAGAGAUAUAUAUUUGGGUGUCAUCAGCAUAAAAAUGAUAUCUACAGUGCAUUAUAUGAUCUUUCAUGUCUGCUGAGUACAAUAAAAAUAAUAUGGGUCCCAAAAUAGAGCCCUGCGGCACACCUUUGGAUAUUGCCAUUCUAUCUGAGAUGAGCGAGGAACCAUCAUGCUUAGUUAUUUUGACAUACUGAUAGCGUUCACUGAGAUAACUAUGAAACCAUUGUAUGGCAUAACUGUCAAAACCGUAAUAGCUCAAUUUGGACAGGAGGAGAUUUAUAUUCAAGGAAUCGAAAGCCCGUGAGAAGUCAAGCAAUACGAGGAGAGUGCACAUGCCCUGAUCCUGUGAUUGCAAAAUAUUGUCAGUCACAUCAAGCAGUGCUGUGACAGUACUGCGACCCCUUCUAAAACCUGACUGGACCUCUGUGCCGGCUUACUGUAGCUACAAAGUUAUCGUGGUUUGUGCCAAGGGAGCCUGCAUUAAACAGCCCAACCCUAAGAAGUUUGUUCGCCAUUUUUCAAUAAUAUUAAUGUAAUAAUUUUGUAUAAUAUUUGUCUAUGUAUAUAAGUGAUAAUAGUGUGCAUAACUGAUGUAAAUAUGUAGAUAAGAACACGGUUAUUAAGAAAUUGUAAAUAAAUAUAAUUAAAAUUACUGAAAUAUAAAUAUGUAGUAUAUAAACCUGUAGUAUUAAUACCAAGAAACUUUAAAUAAAUAUGGCUAAAAUUAUUGAAAUGUAAAUAUGUUUUAUAUAAUCCGAUCAACCCUUCAUGCUUUGUAGACAAUAUUGACAGACACGCAAUGAUAUAUUGAUGUAGCGUAUAAUUAAUUAAUGGUUUUAUACUAUGGCUAAUAGAUGGCGUUAAACUGAAUUGACUAUGUGUAUAAGUAAUAAUAGUGUGAAUAAGUGAUUUAAAUAUGCAGAUAAAAACACGAUUAUUGUGACAUUGUAAAUAAAUAUAGCUAGAACCAUUGAAAUGCAAAUAUGUGUUAUAUAAUCCGAUCGGCACUCCAUGCUUAAUAGACAGAAUUGACAGAUACGCAAUGAAAUAUUGAUAUAAUGUAUAAUUAAUUAAUGAUUUUAUACUAUGGCUAAUAAACGGCGUUAAAUCGAUUAAUACAACAUACAUGGGAGAAGC